AGUGAACGCUGGCGGUAGGCCUAACACAUGCAAGUCGAACGGCAGCACAGUAAGAGCUUGCUCUUACGGGUGGCGAGUGGCGGACGGGUGAGGAAUACAUCGGAAUCUACUUUUUCGUGGGGGAGAACGUAGGGAAACUUACGCUAAUACCGCAUACGACCUACGGGUGAAAGCAGGGGAUCUUCGGACCUUGCGCGAUUGAAUGAGCCGAUGUCGGAUUAGCUAGUUGGCGGGUAAAGGCCCACCAAGGCGACGAUCCGUAGCUGGUCUGAGAGGAUGAUCAGCCACACUGGAACUGAGACACGGUCCAGACUCCUACGGGAGGCAGCAGUGGGGAAUAUUGGACAAUGGGCGCAAGCCUGAUCCAGCCAUACCGCGUGGGUGAAGAAGGCCUUCGGGUUGUAAAGCCCUUUUGUUGGGAAAGAAAAGCAGCAGGUUAAUACCCCGCUGUUCUGACGGUACCCAAAGAAUAAGCACCGGCUAACUUCGUG
Molecule: ribosomal RNA, 491 nt
Filed under: uncultured bacterium
Lineage: Bacteria
Description: partial 16S ribosomal RNA
Rfam family: Bacterial small subunit ribosomal RNA
Source: RNAcentral